AUGCACUUCCAUAUAAUUUUCUUUUAAUGUUCUAUAGUUAAAAGAUAAAAUAGAAGUGCUACAGUAAUCAGAAAGAUAAUUAGCAAAGCAAGCUACUGUGCUUGACUUUGUCAGUCCCUUUCUUACAGUC
This 130-nucleotide small nucleolar RNA is filed under the name Mytilus galloprovincialis (Mediterranean mussel). Lineage: Eukaryota; Metazoa; Mollusca; Bivalvia; Mytilida; Mytilidae. The record is from RNAcentral.